Marmota monax (woodchuck) is the source of this 3572-nucleotide long non-coding RNA. RefSeq lists it as uncharacterized. The record is from RefSeq and is a predicted model, not a curated record. NCBI's taxonomy places the organism in Eukaryota, Metazoa, Chordata, Mammalia, Rodentia, Sciuridae. The transcript is spliced from 5 exons.
CUGCAGCCGGCCAGUAUCUGCACAGAGGCCAGGCCCUGUCUUUGAGGUACUCCUGUCGUCUCCAGCAGAACCUGGUCACUGUGCAGGCCACGUUGCUGGGAGAGUGGCCAGGACCCUGCUGUGUCCUCCCUGCUGGUGGAAGGAGUGCACCAGGCCAGGGCGGCCGAAGCCAACACAAGGUGACCUAGGAGCAGCUUGGACCCUGUGGCGUAGGGUGGAGGUGAGGGUCACGAGGACAAAUGGCAAACAUACAUGGGCUUCCUGACCUGCUAGCUGACCACUCCCAACAGCGUGGAGAAGCCUGCGGCGUUGGGUUCCUGGUGUUCUCUGGGGUCCCCAACCUUCCCUUUCUGUACAUUUCCACCUGCAAGACCUCUGGUCCAGGAAAGAUGUGGAGGGGACAGAAGUCAGCAGUGGGGCCACACCCGCCCUCCCACUCUCCCUGUCCUGGGGGCCCAGAGCAGCAGGAGGAAGAUGUGAGGAAAUGGUGACGCUGCAAGUCCUCCAGCCCAGCACCUGGAGCUCAGCACCAGGAUCUCGGCACCCCGAGCCCAGCACCCGGAGCAGGCACAGUUGGGAGGCGUGUGGUGCAGAUGGGGUCUGUGGCUGAUCUCAGUGACAGGGAGCCGUGGGCUCAGAGCACAGUGGGAAUCCUAUUGGUUUCUCUUUAUUCCUGGGGACUGUGGGGACCUGGCAGUGGCUGGCUUCCCUGCCCGUCCGGGAAGGCCGAUUCCUCCUCAAAUUGGGAACAAUUGGUGUUUUAUCACAUUUCCACAUGCAAAAUGUGUUUCGGCAUUUUUCAUUAGAUUUUUAAGGCUCAGAUUGAUGAGGGCCAAGUCAGAGCCAGACAUGGGGGCGUAAGAGACAAAGGUUCAGUAAUGAGUUCGAAAUUUACAAAACACAGAAGCAAAUAUGGCUUCAAUACCCGACGUGACCCUUUAUAAGUCUUGAAAUUACUCUUCAAAAAUCAUUCUGGCCUGACUUCAGAGCCGAGUGGAUGCUGGGAUACCACAGAUCGACUUUGAGAAGUGGGCUGGUAUUGCAGGAAUUUUUUAAUUUCCUGUAACUCACAACAAUUUUUUCCCAGUGAGACUCGGAGUCACUCCCGCGAUGGGGCACUGACCGCAUGUGCUGUGGGAGCCGAGCGAGCGACCCAGGAGGAAGGGCACGGAGAGGAUCACCUGGGGAAAGAGCCAUCAGAAGUUUAGGAAAAUAUUUCCAGUGAGAGUGUAUAAUGACGCUUGCAGAAGGUGGCUGAGGGACCAAAAAGGCAAAACUCCAGAGAUUGCUCCCCAACAGUCCUGAGUCCCUUCCUCCACCUCAGCGCCGUCGGGCCCCUGUCACCCCAGGGCGCUGAGCGAUGCCCUUUCAGAAGUCACCAAAGGAUCCAUUGGUCUUGGUCACUGCGCAGGGCCCAGGGACUCCAGCAGCACACCCACUGCAAUAAUGGGCCUGGACCCAUCGCGGGUCAGGAGGAGCCCGUGUGGGGACCCUGGGCAAGCGGCACUCGGUGGCUUUCACAAUGUGUGAAGCCAGGCAGAAAAGCAGUGUAUUUGAUUGAGAGCCCGGAGGGUCGCGGAGAUCAGCCCUUCCUUUCUCCAGCCUCCAGGGGUUCGUGGCUGGGGAGCUGGAGGUGACACUUGGCAGCCAAGGGCGUGGGGCCACGUGGAGGGCCUGGAACCCGGAAAGAGGAAAGGGAGCUAAUUAGUGCUGUGCUCUGCUUGCCCCUGGCUCCCCCUCCCCGUUUCCCCACCUCUGCUGUCGACAGGGACAGGCGCCAUGAUAAUAAAUAGCAAAACUCUCUCAUGUUCGCCACGUGCCCAUUCCUGCCCUAUGUCCUCCACCUGAAUUUUCCCCUCUUUAUCCUGGCAGUAAAAGAAGCUCUGUUAUUGGCCCCACUUAACAGAUAAUACCUAGUUAGUAGCUCACUUUUAAUGAGCAUUUACUCUGUGGCAGGCCCUGGACCAUAUGUGUAUGCAUUCAAUUAAUGUGAUGAACGAGGAAAAGGAGGCACAGAGAAGUUAAAUAACUGGCCCUGGUCACACAGCUGAUAAAUAGCAGAGGUGGAAUUCAAACCCAGGCCACAAGACGCCAUCCAUUACCAUACCCUAGGGCACCCUAGUUGCCUGCCUCUUUCCUCUCAGGAAGGCUUCCCUGUCUUUGCCACGGAUCAGCAUUUCUCACCCUCUUUUGAUUAUAUUUUAUUUGGGCUUGUCCUCUGAAAUUGUAAGGCUACCAGAGAGCAGGCUGAAGCUGCAACCUUUCCCCCUGUAUGCGCAGCAUUCCUGGCACAUAGUAGGUGUUCAAGACACAGGCCAACUGCAGCCUAAAAAGACAAAAACAAACAAACACAAAAAAACCAGCUUUAACUUUGAGCCCAGGCAUCGGGUAGAAUUGUCCCCUGGCAGACAGGACAUGGUCAGGAGAGGAGGGCCCAGUGCUGCUUAUUUUAUUUUGAGGUGAUUUGUCUUUUUUUUUUCUUACCUUCUAAUGGAAAAUUCUCUCCAAAGUCACACUCAUUAGCACUCAGAGACUGUUGUGGCAAAAUCUUUCCCAAAUAGUCCCAGCUCUAUUUGUAGGAGGGAAAGAAGCUGAACCAGGACCAAGUACCAGGACUUGGCCCGCAGGGAAGGCUUCAAAGGCAGGGGCUGGCGGCCUCUGUCCUGGGCAAGGGCGGGAAGUGGCUGGUCGCAGAGGGGUUGGGUAGAUUUUGUGUUGACCCGGAGGGCAGCACAAACCACCCCAAAGGAGUGUCUGGGGCUAAGUGGAAAUGCUGUGGCGUGGUGUGCUCUCUUCACAGACCUGGCUUCCAGCAACAGGGAAGUCACCCACAGGAGCAAGAGUCAUGUCAUGGGCCUCUCUCGGAUCAUCAGACACGUGAAUCAAGGAAGCGUCCCUCUCCCAUCAGAACAGGGACUCGAUAAAACGGAGUAGGGCUGUGCUGCAGGCCCAGAGCUGUUCACCUCCCUCUUUCAUCUUCUUUCCCUACGUGCACUUGAGGUUCCCGAUCCCACUUUAAUUCUUCCACUAACAACCUUGGAGUAGGUUCGAUUCCCAUUCACAGAUGAGGAAUCCAAGACUUUGAACGUUUCUGUCCUGCAAGCUGGGAUUUUGAACCCAGGACGCUUGGGUGCAGGGACCCGUGCCUAGCGAUGACACCGCUGCUGCGUUCAGCUUGCCCAUCCUGCCCUGUCUUCACAGGGGACCACCGAUGGAUGGGCAGGCAGGGAUGCUGGAAGCUUCCAGGUGGAUCCAAAAGAUGUCACAGGCUCCCUUGCACACCUGCUCACUGAAGCCUCGCCAGGCGCUGGAAUCCAGGCACACAGCACAGGCCCUGAACUGUCUCCAGGUCUCCAACACUGAGUCACAUGGAUGGAGUCAAGGACAGGCCCAGGGUGUGGCCCCAGCAAGGCAAGGGUGGAGCCCUACCUUGAGUGGCGCAUGCCAUACUGGGGGACAGGGUAUAGGACCUUCCAACUCAGGAUUCAGGUGCACUUUUCCUCUUUGUUUUAUGACAGGUGCAUUUUUGUUUUGUCUUGCUUUUGCUUUUAUUUUCAACUGAUAUAUAAAAA